GGAGGCGAAGGGGUCCUGGUGGGCCCACUGGUCUUCAAAACCAGGUAGGGUGCGUAACGCGCGCCCAGGUAGGUUCGAUUCCUACACGCCUCCGCC
RNAcentral lists this transfer RNA (96 nucleotides) under compost metagenome. RNAcentral's name for it is "tRNA-Sec". It matches the Rfam family "Selenocysteine transfer RNA". The record is from RNAcentral.